GUAACGAGCGCAACCCUGUCCUUAGUUACCAGCACGUUAUGGUGGGCACUCUAAGGAGACUGCCGGUGACAACCGAGGAAGGUGGGGAUGACGUCAAGUCAUCAUGGCCCUUACGGCCUGGGCUACACACGUGCUACAAUGGUCGGUACAAAGGGUUGCCAAGCCGCGAGGUGGAGCUAAUCCCAUAAAACCGAUCGUAGUCCGGAUCGCAGUCUGCAACUCGACUGCGUGAAGUCGGAAUCGCUAGUAAUCGUGAAUCAGAAUGUCACGGUGAAUACGUUCCCGGGCCUU
RNAcentral lists this ribosomal RNA (291 nucleotides) under uncultured Pseudomonas sp. RNAcentral describes it as "partial 16S ribosomal RNA". It matches the Rfam family "Bacterial small subunit ribosomal RNA", at positions 1089 to 1382 of the family's 1533-position model. The record is from RNAcentral. Lineage: Bacteria; Pseudomonadati; Pseudomonadota; Gammaproteobacteria; Pseudomonadales; Pseudomonadaceae.